Molecule: ribosomal RNA, 776 nt
Filed under: uncultured bacterium
Lineage: Bacteria
Description: bacterial SSU rRNA
Rfam family: Bacterial small subunit ribosomal RNA
Source: RNAcentral
AGAGUUUGAUCAUGGCUCAGGACGAACGCNNGGCGGCGUGCUUAACACAUGCAAGUCGAACGGUGAACUCCGCUUGCGGGGGGAUCAGUGGCGAACGGGUGAGUAACACGUGGGCAACCUGCCCCUGGCUCUGGGAUAACUCCAAGAAAUUGGGGCUAAUACCGGAUAUGACCGCUGACCGCAUGGUCUGGUGGUGGAAAGAUUUAUCGGCUGGGGAUGGGCCCGCGGCCUAUCAGCUUGUUGGUGGGGUAGUGGCCUACCAAGGCGACGACGGGUAGCCGGCCUGAGAGGGUGACCGGCCACACUGGGACUGAGACACGGCCCAGACUCCUACGGGAGGCAGCAGUGGGGAAUAUUGCGCAAUGGGCGAAAGCCUGACGCAGCGACGCCGCGUGGGGGAUGACGGCCUUCGGGUUGUAAACCUCUUUCAGCAGGGACGAAGCGAAAGUGACGGUACCUGCAGAAGAAGCACCGGCCAACUACGUGCCAGCAGCCGCGGUAAUACGUAGGGUGCAAGCGUUGUCCGGAAUUAUUGGGCGUAAAGAGCUCGUAGGCGGUUUGUUGCGUCGGCUGUGAAAUCCCGAGGCUCAACCUCGGGUCUGCAGUCGAUACGAGCAAACUAGAGUGUUGCAGGGGAGACUGGAAUUCCUGGUGUAGCGGUGAAAUGCGCAGAUAUCAGGAGGAACACCGGUGGCGAAGGCGGGUCUCUGGGGCAACAACUGACGCUGAGGAGCGAAAGCGUGGGGAGCGAACAGGAUUAGAUACCCUAGUAGUCC